GAGGGUGUAGCUCAAGCGGCAGAGCGCAUGCUUAGCAUGCACAAGGUCCUGGGUUCAAUCCUUGGCACCUCCU
This 73-nucleotide transfer RNA is filed under the name Camelus bactrianus (Bactrian camel). It matches the Rfam family "tRNA". From Rfam's summary of the family: Transfer RNA (tRNA) molecules are approximately 80 nucleotides in length. RNAcentral also lists the same sequence under 1 other name. Lineage: Eukaryota; Metazoa; Chordata; Mammalia; Artiodactyla; Camelidae. The record is from Rfam by way of RNAcentral.